Molecule: ribosomal RNA, 447 nt
Filed under: uncultured bacterium
Lineage: Bacteria
Description: partial 16S ribosomal RNA
Rfam family: Bacterial small subunit ribosomal RNA
Source: RNAcentral
AACGAACGCUGGCGGCAGGCUUAACACAUGCAAGUCGAACGCAUCGCAAGAUGAGUGGCAGACGGGUGAGUAACGCGUGGGAACAUACCCUUUUCUACGGAAUAGCUCUGGGACACUGGAAUUAAUACCGUAUACGCCCUACGGGGGAAAGAUUUAUCGGGGAAGGAUUGGCCCGCGUUGGAUUAGCUAGUUGGUGGGGUAAAGGCCUACCAAGGCGACGCUCUAUCGCUGGUCUGAGAGGAUGAUCAGCCACAUUGGGACUGGAACACGGCCCAGACUCCUGCGGGAUGCAGCAGUAGGGAAUUGUGCACAAUGGGCGAAAGCCUGAUGGAGCAACGCCGCGUGCAGGAUGAAUGCCUUCGGGUUGUAAACUGCUUUUAUAUGUGACGACUAUGACGGUAGCAUAUGAAUAAGGAUCGGCUAACUCCGUGCCAGCCGCCGCAGUAA